This 273-nucleotide ribosomal RNA is filed under the name uncultured prokaryote. RNAcentral's name for it is "partial 16S ribosomal RNA". It matches the Rfam family "Bacterial small subunit ribosomal RNA", at positions 526 to 798 of the family's 1533-position model. The record is from RNAcentral.
CGUAGGGUGCGAGCGUUGUCCGGAAUUAUUGGGCGUAAAGAGCCUGUAGGCGGUUAGUCGCGUCGGAAGUGAAAACUCGGGCCUUAAUCCCGAGCUUGCUUCCGAUACGGGCUGACUAGAGGAAGGUAGGGGAGAAUGGAAUUCCUGGUGGAGCGGUGGAAUGCGCAGAUAUCAGGAGGAACACCAGUGGCGAAGGCGGUUCUCUGGACCUUUCCUGACGCUGAGAAGCGAAAGCGUGGGGAGCAAACAGGCUUAGAUACCCUGGUAGUCCCU